AGAAGAGGAACUAUCGGAGGAGGAGGAGGAACUGGAGUCCUGGAGGAAGAAUGGGAAAAUGAUGCUGAAAGGAGACAGUCCAUCUGCAUUGCUGAGAGACCCUUAACUGCUCAUACAGCUUAGAAUAUGAAGGCUUAUAAAGAAGAUCCCAACUGAACAGCUAGUCACACCCUUAUGAAGGCUGAUGUGGUCAAAACAUGUUAGCGUCAGACUGGUUUUUAAAAAUUCUACCUGAUAUGCCAGUUCAACAAAGGUAUUUUAACUCAUUACUCCCUCCAAUGAAAGUGACCUCAUUUUCAUUUAACUAUUUCUUUCUCCAGUGAAAAUGACUUUAAUUGAUCAAAGUCCAGUUUUCUACCCUUUGCACUGCACACAGACUACAUUAUUCUUCUGACACACAGAAUGCAUCACUGUUCCAGGCGAGCAUUCCGUCUGUACCCCCGAAUGUGUCCUUUGUCCCCCGUGCUCCUACCUCUU
Molecule: long non-coding RNA, 477 nt
Organism: Anguilla anguilla (European eel)
Lineage: Eukaryota; Metazoa; Chordata; Actinopteri; Anguilliformes; Anguillidae
Exons: 3
Source: RefSeq, a predicted model, not a curated record